Molecule: long non-coding RNA, 555 nt
Organism: Gossypium raimondii (Peruvian cotton)
Lineage: Eukaryota; Viridiplantae; Streptophyta; Magnoliopsida; Malvales; Malvaceae
Exons: 2
Source: RefSeq, a predicted model, not a curated record
AUUUCUCCUUCUCUUGCGUUCUUAUUUUCUGUGGCUUGUUCUUAUUUUGUUUUUUUGUUCAUCUUCGUUUCUUUUUAAGUUGCUUUCAUUUGAGUUGGAUUUUGGUGGAGGAAUUUCGUUAAAUCUUCAUAUUGUGGGAAAAAGAGGUGUUGAUUCAUGUUUAGUUGCUAAAUAGAGAGCUUGUCAUGGAAAAUGGAUUUCUUGAUAAAGUGGAAGUCAAUACGGUUGUCCAAAUAUAGUCCAAGAAAACGUGAUGCGAGAAGUGUAACAAGAGGAGUAUACGACCUUGCUGCGUUGCCUGAAGAUUCAAGUUAGCAAAGAUUCUUCAAGAGUUGUCAAACAUCCCAACCUUUUUAAAGAAGAUCAGGAGCAUGAGUGAGCAACGAGUUGCGACCUGGAUCAAGCAAAAGGAGCUAGUAGAUGUCUAUUGAAAAAUUCGCGAGAUGCAUCUUAAUAUCCAGAUGAUCGAGGGCGAAGUCGUAUAUGUAUCCGCUUUAUGUAAAGAGAUCUGUUUUCUAGUAAAGUUAUUUUAGUAAAAAAUUGAACCAGAAUCAA